UGGCAAUCACCGUCCACAUUUCAUCUGAGACUGGACAGUUUUUAAAAAAAAAAUGAGAUUGACGUAUACAAAAAUCUAGCUUUGGACUUUCCACCCCUGAUUUUAGUCAAAUGCUUUAGAGAAUGUCUGAAAGCAUCAAAUCUCUCCCAGCUACAUAAACGAGCUCAGGGUUAUGGCCCCUUCCUUCCUACCCUGUGAACUGCUGAUUAAGGGAACUUGUGGCUACAAUUACUGCAAAGAAAUGUAUCUUCAAGGUCGAGGGGAACAAGUACCGCAAUAAAGAAGCCUAUUUACUUAAUCCGCCUCUGGGUCCUCCUGCUCCUUCUCUAACAGAAAUGUAUGUAGCAACAUUAUAUAUAAUGUUAUGAAAUCCCCCUGUAUGAUGUUAUUAGCACAAAAGUUGUUUAACAGGUCUAUCCUAAACAAAGGAAUGUGUGUUUAUCUCAAUUUACAUAUUAGUAGUAAACAGGGUCCUUGAGACAGCAAAAGGGGGAAAUGGUAGGAGAGAAGGCAAAUCUACAUUUCAGCAUAUACAGGGGAGGAG
Long non-coding RNA from Dermochelys coriacea (leatherback sea turtle), 544 nucleotides. RefSeq lists it as uncharacterized. The transcript has 3 exons. NCBI's taxonomy places the organism in Eukaryota, Metazoa, Chordata, Testudines, Dermochelyidae. The record is from RefSeq and is a predicted model, not a curated record.